CUUUCAAUCCGCUGCCAUCCGCGGCUUGGGGGUCGAAGGUCCGGGCGGCGCCGGGUGCAUUCCUUCCCUAGGUCUCUGGCGGCUACGUAUCCGAUCCUGUCCUGCGAGCAGGGCCCUCGGGCGGCCUUGACCAAGGCGACAGUGAACACAGUCUGAAGUUCCGGCCCAAGACCUGGGCUUGCUGGCAGGAGUCAGCUCUGGGCAUCUUUGGCUUUACGGAUUUUUAAGUGGCCCUUUCUCCUUGCUCUCUGCAGAAAUGGGCAAGUUCAUGAAACCUGGGAAGGUGGUGCUUGUCCUGGCUGGACGCUACUCCGGACGCAAAGCUGUCAUCGUGAAGGUACUCUGUGGAUAUCCCCUUGGACAAAACUGUCGUCAAUAAGGAUGUCUUCAGAGAUCCUGCUCUUAAACGCAAGGCCCGACGGGAGGCCAAGGUCAAGUUUGAAGAGAGAUACAAGACAGGCAAGAACAAGUGGUUCUUCCAGAAACUGCGGUUUUAGAUGCUUUGUUUUGAUCAUUAAAAAUUAUAAAG
This 529-nucleotide long non-coding RNA is filed under the name Homo sapiens (human). RNAcentral describes it as "long non-coding RNA NONHSAT175225.1". The record is from RNAcentral. Lineage: Eukaryota; Metazoa; Chordata; Mammalia; Primates; Hominidae.